Dermacentor andersoni is the source of this 2097-nucleotide non-coding RNA. The record is from RefSeq and is a predicted model, not a curated record. Lineage: Eukaryota; Metazoa; Arthropoda; Arachnida; Ixodida; Ixodidae.
CAUACUUCAAAGAGGGAAUGUGAAAAGCAGCUGCACUAGAUCCUCUGACCUUGUCCACAGAGCCAUCAGUAAAAAUUUGAAGAUGACGUGCAUAUUCAGUCUCAAGAUGUUCCAGUACGAGCUAACGCGUUGCCGCCAAAGGAGAACUCCGCUUAGCGCGAACGGGAGGAAUUGUCAACGAACAAUCGAGGCUCGCGAAUGACCAAGGUGGUUUCAACCUCUUAGUUCGACCUCUAGCGUCAAGACGCAGGUAACCAAGAGUAUUAAUCCACGAAACACAGAACCUCUUAAAAACUUAUUGAAACGGCUACAAACGGCUAUAGACGUCUUGGUGUAUGAUAAGACUGAAAAUAGAAUUUCUUCUAAACAUAACCUCAGCGCUUGGAAUAGGCUAGUAUAUAUUCUAUCUGCGGCAAAACCCACUACUGGUGUCACUAGAGUCUAUUUUGGUAAACACAUUCAGAAUGUCUAACUCAAGAACUUUUCUAGAUCUUUUUGUCUAAAAGUGCAUAAAAUGCCAAACGACGUGCUAAAAGUGCGGUUACCGUCGGCCAUCGGCGUUAGCGAAUAAAAGACGCCACAGACAAAUCGAACUCGUUGGAAGAAACAUAAGUUGGCUUUAAUAUUAAAGAUUUUCACAUCAGAACUUCAACACUCAAGGGCGUGUUAUUGUUUUCCAUACGGGGCGCACACACGACGCCUGGAAUCCAUUCUAUGCUCGCGCAGCAGGUACUGACAGCAGCAGGAGUGAAACGCCGGUGUUGCACAGCGGUGUGACAGAGCCACCGCGCUGCGAUCACUUCGGCGGCACGCUCCAAAUUGGGGACACGCUCCAAAUUUGUCAGACAUCUCAUUCCAUGCUGGAAACACUGGGAGGCAGGAAGUUUGAAAAAAUGGCCACUGCCUCCCGGAAUGUCUCAGUCGCGGGUUCGUUAUGCCAAUUGCGCGUCAUUCUAAGCCGUUUUGUACAUUUAUAGUGGAUAUUAACUGGAGUCAUUUAGCUGUGCUGAUGCUGUUUGCCGUGUGUUUUGCAUCAGUGCUUCGUGACAUCGGCUGUAUUGCGUGUUUUCGCCGACGGCUUACUACGACAAUGGCGGGAUCUGCGUUCGCCGCCUUCGUGUCUCGGUGCGUCUUUGUACAAUGUACGUCGCACGUUUAGAUAACACUUUUUACGGUAAGUGAAAUACAUUGCACUUCGUUUUUCGUCAACAAUGUGAAUAUUUUUAGGUGUUACCUGCGAUGUUUCUUGAUUGAUGGGCUCUUCUGCCAUGCGGGUUUUCGUUAUCUUUUAAGGCUUCUACUUGUGUUCAGCCGUUCAUCACUACCGCGCUCCAUGACUUCCGCAACACCAGUCAGAACAUUGCCCUGCUUGUUAGUCUUUGUAGUUAACGCAGCACGAACCAACCGAAGGGAGUGCAUUCGAAGACGACGCGCUGACUGUAAUGCUGAACCAGACUGAACUCGCCCUAUUUUGUGUCCUUUUGUUCUUGCAUGGGCUACAGCAUUGCGUGUGCGCGCGCGUGUCAGUGACUAUGCAGCUUGUAACGUUCCUACUUUAUAGCAAAACAAAAAUAUAACUGCAAUGUUUACUUCAUCUAUACUAUUCCAAAUGCAAUCAUCUGCUGAUGUACGAAUUUCACUUGUGUUUUGUUCUAAAUAAGCAGCAAAGCUUUUAGACUAGUCGGUGCUUCAUCUGGGAGUACAAUCACAACUGCUUGGCAUUUAUUAAUGAAUGACUGUGACUGGGUCACCUCAUUUGUAAUAGCAAAUCUGUCUUUCAACUGACUUGAUGAUCUCUUUUGUUACUUUCACUCCAUAGACGGCUGGACAUCCUUCUUGUACCUUGGCGCUAGCUGGAUGACGGGACCUCAUCAUGAUCAGUGUAUUGCUUGCCUAUGUCUACAAGAACCGUCACGCGUGGCCUGUAACAGCAAGCUUUUGUGGGCAGCCAGUGCUCUCCUACGAAGGCUGGCCUGCUCUGGCAGCGGCGGCAAUCAUCUUCAAGAGUUAUGCAUGAUCGCAUUUAUUUGUCACUCUUGUUAAUUACACUUUCUGUAUCUUUUCUAAUUUAUUAGGUAAUAAAGUAUGAGUAUGUGA